AAGUCACGUGCUGUGACAGUAGCUGGGGUGAGGCCGUCGUCGCCGCACGGGCUGGUUGGGGUUGUGUCUGUGGGAGGCGCCGGGGUGAUGGCGGUGGAGACUCUGUCCCCGGACUGGGAGUUUGACCGCGUUGACGACGGCUCGCAGAAAAUUCAUGCCGAAGUCCAACUUAAGAAUUAUGGGAAAUUUCUUGAGGAGUAUACCUCUCAACUGAGAAGAAUUGAGGACGCUCUGGAUGACUCAAUUGGAGAUGUUUGGGAUUUCAAUCUUGAUCCUAUAGCAUUAAAGCUUUUGCCUUAUGAACAGUCCUCUCUUUUGGAACUCAUAAAGACUGAAAACAAGGUCUUAAACAAAGUCAUCACUGUUUAUGCUGCACUUUGUUGUGAAAUCAAGAAAUUAAAAUAUGAGGCUGAAACUAAAUUUUACAAUGGUCUCUUGUUUUAUGGAGAAGGAGCUACAGAUGCCAGCAUGGUGGAAGGUGAUUGCCAAAUUCAAAUGGGGAGAUUUAUUUCAUUCUUACAGGAACUGUCUUGCUUUGUUAUGAGGUGCUAUGAAGUGGUGAUGAACGUAGUCCACCAGUUGGCUGCCCUCUAUAUCAGUAACAAGAUUGCACCCAAAAUUAUAGAGACAACUGGAGUUCAUUUUCAGACUAUGUAUGAGCACUUGGGAGAACUGCUAACAGUUUUGCUCACCCUGGAUGAAAUUAUUGAUAAUCAUAUCACACUGAAAGACCACUGGACUAUGUACAAAAGGUUACUGAAAUCUGUCCAUCACAAUCCUUCAAAAUUUGGAAUUCAGGAAGAAAAAUUAAAGCCAUUUGAAAAGUUCUUGCUGAAGCUAGAAGGGCAAUUACUGGAUGGAAUGAUAUUCCAGGCCUGUAUAGAACAACAAUUUGAUUCUCUCAAUGGAGGAGUAUCUGUGUCAAAAAAUAGUACUUUUGCUGAGGAAUUUGCACAUAGUAUUCGGUCAAUUUUUGCAAAUGUAGAAGCCAAACUUGGAGAACCUUCUGAAAUUGACCAGAGAGACAAGUAUGUUGGAAUUUGUGGACUCUUUGUAUUGCACUUUCAGAUUUUUCGAACUAUUGAUAAAAAGUUUUAUAAGUCUUUAUUGGACAUUUGUAAGAAGGUACCAGCCAUCACUCUAACUGCUAAUAUUAUUUGGUUUCCUGAUAAUUUUCUGAUCCAGAAAAUACCAGCAGCUGCCAAACUGCUAGACAGAAAAAGUCUUCAAGCCAUUAAAAUACACAGGGAUACUUUUCUACAACAGAAAGCUCAAUCACUUACCAAAGAUGUACAGUCUUACUACGUCUUUGUGAGCUCAUGGAUGAUGAAAAUGGAAUCUAUUUUGUCUAAAGAGCAGAGAAUGGAUAAAUUUGCUGAAGAUCUCACCAAUAGAUGUAAUGUUUUUAUACAGGGCUUCUUGUAUGCAUAUAGUAUUAGUACCAUUAUUAAAACCACAAUGAAUCUCUACAUGUCCAUGCAAAAGCCAAUGACCAAAACCUCAGUUAAGGCAUUGUGCAGGCUUGUUGAACUUCUCAAGGCAAUAGAGCAUAUGUUCUACAGGAGAAGCAUGGUUGUGGCUGAUUCAGUUUCACAUAUAACACAACACCUUCAACAUCAGGCUCUUCAUUCUAUUUCUGUGGCCAAGAAAAGAGUGAUUUCUGACAAAAAAUACAGUGAACAGCGUCUUGAUGUGCUCUCUGCUCUAGUUUUGGCUGAAAACACUCUAAAUGGACCAAGCACAAAGCAACGGCGACUUAUUGUUUCUUUGGCACUAAGUGUUGGCACACAAAUGAAAACAUUUAAAGAUGAAGAACUCUUUCCACUUCAAGUAGUCAUGAAAAAACUGGAUCUUAUUAGUGAACUUAGAGAACGAGUCCAAACACAAUGUGACUGUUGUUUUUUAUACUGGCAUCGAGCUGUCUUCCCAAUUUAUUUAGAUGAUGUAUAUGAAAAUGCUGUUGAUGCAGCCAGAUUACAUUACAUGUUCAGUGCUUUGCGCGACUGUGUACCUGCUAUGAUGCAUGCAAGGCAUUUAGAGUCCUAUGAGAUACUUCUGGAUUGCUAUGACAAGGAAAUUAUGGAAAUUUUAAAUGAGCAUUUGCUGGACAAAUUAUGCAAAGAAAUAGAGAAAGAUCUGCGACUUUCUGUGCAUACUCAUUUAAAGCUGGAUGACCGAAACCCUUUCAAAGUUGGCAUGAAAGACCUGGCUCUUUUUUUCUCUCUGAAUCCAAUUCGGUUUUUCAAUCGUUUCAUUGACAUUCGGGCUUACGUAACUCACUACCUAGACAAGACUUUCUACAAUCUAACAACAGUAGCCCUUCAUGACUGGGCCACUUAUAGUGAGAUGAGAAACUUAGCUACUCAGCGUUAUGGACUGGUUAUGACAGAGGCACAUCUUCCCAGUCAGACUUUGGAACAGGGCCUUGAUGUUUUAGAAAUUAUGAGAAACAUUCAUAUAUUUGUGUCCCGAUACCUCUAUAAUCUCAACAAUCAGAUUUUUAUUGAACGAACAAGCAAUAACAAGCAUUUGAAUACUAUUAAUAUUCGGCAUAUUGCUAAUUCAAUUCGAACACAUGGCACGGGAAUUAUGAAUACAACUAAAUGGGCAUUCACGGCUUGGCGUGGUGGCUCACGCUUGUAAUCCCAGCACUUUGGGAGGCUGAAGCAGGAGGAUCACCUGAGGUUGGGAGUUCAAGACCAGCCUGACCAACAUGGAGAAACCCCAUCUCUACUAAAAAUACAAAAUUAGCCAGGUGUGGUGGCGGGCGCCUGUAAUCCCAGCUGCUUGGGAGGCUGAGGCAGGAGAAUCGCUUGAACCUGGGAGGCAGAGGUUGCGGUGAGCUGAGAUUGCGCCAUUGCACUCCAGCUUGGGCAGCAAGAGCGAAACUCCAUCUC
RNAcentral lists this small RNA (2897 nucleotides) under Pan troglodytes (chimpanzee). Its description in RNAcentral is "retained intron". The record is from RNAcentral. Lineage: Eukaryota; Metazoa; Chordata; Mammalia; Primates; Hominidae.